Molecule: ribosomal RNA, 421 nt
Filed under: uncultured bacterium
Lineage: Bacteria
Description: bacterial SSU rRNA
Rfam family: Bacterial small subunit ribosomal RNA
Source: RNAcentral
GGCGAACGGGUGAGUAACACGUGGGUGACCUGCCCUCCACUCUGGGAUAAGCCUGGGAAACCGGGUCUAAUACCGGAUAGGACCUCUGGGUGCAUGCCUGGUGGUGGAAAGUUUUUUCGGUGGGGGAUGGGCCCGCGGUCUAUCAGCUUGUUGGUGGGGUGAUGGCCUACCAAGGCGACGACGGAUAGCCGGCCUGAGAGGGUGAUCGGCCACACUGGGACUGAGACACGGCCCAGACUCCUACGGGAGGCAGCAGUGGGGAAUCUUGCGCAAUGGGCGGAAGCCUGACGCAGCAACGCCGCGUGAGGGAUGACGGCCUUCGGGUUGUAAACCUCUUUCGCGAUCGACGAAGGUCCGGUUUUUGCUGGGCUGACGGUAGGUCGAGAAGAAGCACCGGCCAACUACGUGCCAGCCGCCGCGG